RNAcentral lists this ribosomal RNA (497 nucleotides) under uncultured bacterium. RNAcentral describes it as "partial 16S ribosomal RNA". It matches the Rfam family "Bacterial small subunit ribosomal RNA", at positions 28 to 507 of the family's 1533-position model. The record is from RNAcentral.
GAUGAACGCUGGCGGCGUGCCUAAUACAUGCAAGUCGAGCGAACAGACGAGGAGCUUGCUCCUCGGACGUUAGCGGCGGACGGGUGAGUAACACGUGGAUAACCUACCUAUAAGACUGGGAUAACUUCGGGAAACCGGCGCUAAUACCGGAUAAUAUAUUGAACCGCAUGGUUCAAUAGUGAAAGUCGGUUUUGCUGUCUCUUAUAGAUGGAUCCGCGCCGCAUUAGCUAGUUGGUAAGGUAACGGCUUACCAAGGCAACGAGGCGUAGCCGACCUGAGAGGCGGAUAGGCGACACUGGAAGUGGACCACGGUCCAGAGGCCUAAGGGAGGCCGCAGAAGGGAAUCUGCCGCAAUGGGCGAGAACCUGGCGGAACAACGCGGCGCGUGAGAUAGAGAUGUUCGGAUCGGGAAACUCGGUUAUUAGGGAAAAACCACUGUGGAAUUAGAUAUGCACGUCUUGACGGUACCUAAUAAGAAAGCCCCGGCUAACUACGUG